Molecule: ribosomal RNA, 650 nt
Filed under: uncultured bacterium
Lineage: Bacteria
Description: bacterial SSU rRNA
Rfam family: Bacterial small subunit ribosomal RNA
Source: RNAcentral
AGCUUGUUGGUGGGGUAAUGGCCUACCAAGGCUUUGACGGGUAGCCGGCCUGAGAGGGUGACCGGCCACACUGGGACUGAGACAUGGCCCAGACUCCUACGGGAGGCAGCAGUGGGAAUAUUGGUCAAUGGGCGGAAGCCUGAACCAGCCAUGCCGCGUGCAGGAAGACGGCCCUACGGGUUGUAAACUGCUUUUAUACGGGAAUAAACCUUGAUACGUGUAUCAAGCUGAAUGUACUGUAAGAAUAAGGAUCGGCUAACUCCGUGCCAGCAGCCGCGGUAAUGCGGAGGAUCCAAGCGUUAUCCGGAUUUAUUGGGUUUAAAGGGUGCGUAGGUGGCCUGGUAAGUCAGGGGUGAAAGACGGUAGCUUAACUAUCGCAGUGCCUUUGAUACUGCCAGGCUUGAAUAAACUAGAGGUAGGCGGAAUGUGACAAGUAGCGGUGAAAUGCAUAGAUAUGUCACAGAACACCGAUUGCGAAGGCAGCUUACUAUGGUUUUAUUGACACUGAGNACGAAAGCGUGGGGAUCAAACAGGAUUAGAUACCCUGGUAGUCCACGCCCUAAACGAUGAAUACUCGAUGUUGGCGAUAUACGGUCAGCGUCUAAGCGGAGCGUUAAGUAUUCCACCUGGGAGUACGCCCGCAAGGUGAA